GGCCAGGCCUGCCAACAAAACUCGCGAGACUUGAGCGCGUCAGAGGGACGUCCUCUCACGGGCCGGAAGUGUAGUCGGCGGAGCGGCUUAGGCGCUUGAAGCACCUCCGAGCUCGGGGCCGUAUCGCGGCUUCUCGGCUCGCGCUUCGCUUCCCUGGGCCGUAGUAAUGGGGGACUCCAAGGAGGCCGGAGCCGAGGCCGCGCCGGCGGCGACUGCUGCUCGAGGAGGGCUCAGCCUCCUGUCUCAGGGCGAGCUGGAGGAACCUUCUGCGCAGCAUUUGCACAACUAGAAGAGAAAACGGACUUGAAACUCCCACCUGCCAACUGGUUAUGAGAAAGUGCCAAACUAGGGCCAGCAGGAACUACUGUUCUUGGGAAUAGUAAGAAAUGCAAGCCAUUUGAAAGUUGAAGAUAGCAGUUUGAUGGACUGAAGGAGAAGGAAUGAGAGUCGAGAUUCAAAUAUACUGAGGAGCUUGAUCACUUCU
This is a long non-coding RNA of Octodon degus (degu), 484 nucleotides long. RefSeq lists it as uncharacterized. The transcript has 3 exons. NCBI's taxonomy places the organism in Eukaryota, Metazoa, Chordata, Mammalia, Rodentia, Octodontidae. The record is from RefSeq and is a predicted model, not a curated record.